Molecule: ribosomal RNA, 274 nt
Filed under: uncultured bacterium
Lineage: Bacteria
Description: partial 16S ribosomal RNA
Rfam family: Bacterial small subunit ribosomal RNA
Source: RNAcentral
AUACGGAGGGUGCAAGCGUUAUCCGGAUUUACUGGGUUUAAAGGGUACGCAGGCGGUAAUUUAAGUCAGUGGUGAAAGCCUACAGCUCAACUGUAGAACUGCCAUUGAAACUGAAUUACUUGAGUAUGGUAGAGGUAGGCGGAAUACAACAUGUAGCGGUGAAAUGCAUAGAUAUGUUGUAGAACACCGAUUGCGAAGGCAGCUUACUAAACCCUUACUGACGCUCAUGUACGAAAGCGUGGGGAGCGAACAGGAUUAGAAACCAUAGUAGUCC